Ribosomal RNA from Bacilli bacterium VT-13-104, 2272 nucleotides. It matches the Rfam family "Bacterial large subunit ribosomal RNA", at positions 643 to 2925 of the family's 2925-position model. NCBI's taxonomy places the organism in Bacteria, Bacillati, Bacillota, Bacilli. The record is from Rfam.
AGGUUAAGUGGAAGACACGGAGCCGUAGCGAAAGCGAGUCUGAAUAGGGCGAUUUAGUAUGCGGUCGUAGACCCGAAACCGUGUGAUCUACCCAUGUCCAGGGUGAAGGUCAGGUAACACUGACUGGAGGCCCGAACCCACGUAUGUUGAAAAAUGCGGGGAUGAGGUGUGGGUAGGGGUGAAAUGCCAAUCGAACACGGAGAUAGCUGGUUCUCUCCGAAAUAGCUUUAGGGCUAGCCUCAAGAUGAUGAGUACUGGAGGUAGAGCACUGAUUGGACUAGGGGCCCUCAUCGGGUUACCGAAUUCAGUCAAACUCCGAAUGCCAGAUACUUAAACUUGGGAGUCAGACUAUGGGUGAUAAGGUUCAUAGUCGAAAGGGAAACAGCCCAGACCACCAGCUAAGGUCCCAAAGUAUACGUUAAGUGGAAAAGGAUGUGGAGUUGCUUAGACAACCAGGAUGUUGGCUUAGAAGCAGCCACCAUUUAAAGAGUGCGUAAUAGCUCACUGGUCGAGUGACUCUGCGCCGAAAAUGUACCGGGGCUAAACGUAUCACCGAAGCUGUGGAUUGUUCUUACGAACAAUGGUAGGAGAGCGUUCUAAGUGCUGUGAAGUCAGACCGUGAGGACUGGUGGAGCGCUUAGAAGUGAGAAUGCCGGUAUGAGUAGCGAAAAAAGAGUGAGAAUCUCUUUCACCGAAUGCCUAAGGUUUCCUGAGGAAGGCUCGUCCUCUCAGGGUUAGUCGGGACCUAAGCCGAGGCCGAAAGGCGUAGGCGAUGGACAACAGGCAGAUAUUCCUGUACCACCUCAUGACCGUUUGAGCGAUGGGGGGACGCAGUAGGAUAAGGAAUGCGCACGGAUGGAUGUGUGCGCCCAAGCAGUGAGAAAGUCAGGUAGGCAAAUCCGCCUGGCCAUUUCAAGCUGUGAUGGGGAGGCCUUCUGGCCGAAGUUCCUGAUUUCACACUGCCGAGAAAAGCCUCUAGCAAGGUCACAGGUGCCCGUACCGCAAACCGACACAGGUAGGCGAGGAGAGAAUCCUAAGGUGAGCGGGAGAACUCUCGUUAAGGAACUCGGCAAAAUGACCCCGUAACUUAGGGAGAAGGGGUGCUCUACGGAGUAGAGCCGCAGUGAAUAGGCCCAAGCGACUGUUUAGCAAAAACACAGGUCUCUGCGAAGCCGAAAGGCGAAGUAUAGGGGCUGACACCUGCCCGGUGCUGGAAGGUUAAGGGGAAGAGUUAGGGCUUUUGCCCGAAGCUUAGAACCGAAGCCCCAGUAAACGGCGGCCGUAACUAUAACGGUCCUAAGGUAGCGAAAUUCCUUGUCGGGUAAGUUCCGACCCGCACGAAAGGUGCAACGACUUGGGCACUGUCUCAACGAGAGACCCGGUGAAAUUAUACGAUGCGUGAAGAUGCGCAUUACCCGCGACAGGACGGAAAGACCCCGUGGAGCUUUACUGUAGCCUGAUAUUGAAUGUCUGUGCAGCUUGUACAGGAUAGGUGGGAGCCUUAGAAACGUGAGCGCCAGCUUACGUGGAGGCAUCCGUGGGAUACCACCCUGGCUGUAUGGACCUUCUAACCCAGGACCGUGAUCCGGUUCGGAGACAGUGUCAGGCGGGCAGUUUGACUGGGGCGGUCGCCUCCCAAAAGGUAACGGAGGCGCCCAAAGGUUCCCUCAGAAUGGUUGGAAAUCAUUCGCAGAGUGUAAAGGCAGAAGGGAGCUUGACUGCGAGACCUACAAGUCGAGCAGGGACGAAAGUCGGGCUUAGUGAUCCGGUGGUUCCGCAUGGAAGGGCCAUCGCUCAACGGAUAAAAGCUACCCCGGGGAUAACAGGCUUAUCUCCCCCAAGAGUUCACAUCGACGGGGAGGUUUGGCACCUCGAUGUCGGCUCAUCGCAUCCUGGGGCUGUAGUCGGUCCCAAGGGUUGGGCUGUUCGCCCAUUAAAGCGGUACGCGAGCUGGGUUCAGAACGUCGUGAGACAGUUCGGUCCCUAUCCGUCGUGGGCGUUGGAAGUUUGAGAGGAGCUGUCCUUAGUACGAGAGGACCGGGAUGGACAUACCGCUGGUGUACCAGUUGUUCCGCCAGGAGCAUAGCUGGGUAGCUACGUAUGGAAAGGAUAAGUGCUGAAAGCAUCUAAGCAUGAAGCCCCCCUCAAGAUGAGACUUCCCAUCAUUUUAAAUGAGUAAGAUCCCUCAGAGACGAUGAGGUUAAUAGGUUUGAGGUGGAAGCGUGGCGACACGUGGAGCUGACAAAUACUAAUCGAUCGAGGACUUAACUAA